GGUUGCAGUGAGCCAAGAUGGCACAACUGCACUCCAGUCUGGGUGACAAAGUGAGACUCUGAUUCCAAAAAUAAAUAAAUUAAUUAAUUAAUAAGAUUUAGGGCCAUGCCAGGCACAAGUUAAGUCCUACACCUCUACAAUUAAAGAAUAAACUCUAUUCUCACUGCCACGAGGUUGUUCCUUUUCUCUAGCAGCUAAGUAAGUACUGACCUCAAGAUAAACAAUGUUAAAACGAUUUGCAGCUCAUCCAGCUCCAGAUGCUAACUGACCCCAUUCACCCACCAUAACUAGCUUUCUCUUCUUUUGAAACAGCGUCUCACUCUGUCCUCCAGGCUAGAGUGCAGUGGUGCAAUCCUGGCUGAGUGCAGCUUCAACCUCCCAGCCUCAAGCAAUCCUCCCACCUCAGCCUCCCAAGUAGCUGGGCCUACAGGUGUGCACCACUAGGUGUACCAGUAGGUCCACCCGGGAGGUGGAGUUUGCACCCAGCUACUUUUUGUAUUUUUGGUAGAGAUGGGGUUUUGCCAUGUUGCCUAGGCUGAUCUCAAAUUCCUGGGCUUAAACAAUCCUCCCAUCGUGGCCUCCCAAAGUGCUGGGACUACAGGUGUGAGCCACUAUGCCCAGCCAACUACAGCUUUCAUUGAACAAGAGACUGAUUUCAGCAACUUUCUCCAGCUCAGGAAAUUCACAGGCAGCUUGCAGCCACCGAAGGAAGAGUGAUUCAAAGAGAACGGCUGAUGUUCAUUAGGAACGGUGAACUUGGUGGCUUUUUCAUUUAUCCCAGUCACAUACCCCACUUCCUACAAAGAUUUUAAGAGAAUUGGACUAGGAUCAACACAGCUAGCUUGGCCCCGAUGGGACAGAGAAGACGCCAUGUUGUGCGGGACACCAUGUCGCAGUUACAGGAAGGAAAAAGAAUUUGUGCCAAGAACCAUGAGGAAUCAUUCCUGGGGGCUCCACGAAGGAAGUGGCAAAGUGCCCCACUGGCUUUGAGAAAUGAUGGACUUGGGGCUGCUAUGUGCUCCCCAAAGACUGUGUUGCCGCUCUUCGAACUGGAGGGUCUACAGCAGCUUGUCCUGUGUCCACUGGGUGUGCAGUCAUUGGGUGUGGGGCAGACAAUCGGCCUCUUAGUCUUCCGUCCACAUUGGAGAGGAACUGUAACAGGUAAGCUGCACCUGAGGCCUCUCAUUUGCACCUGGACCUAAUUAUAUCACAAGAGCAGGAGGCCAGGACAGACGUGGCUUUGCAGGGAGGGGUGGGUGUAUUCUGCAUGUGCAAGGAAUAUAAGUAAUUCAUGGCUAGAGGAUGGACUGCUUUGGAUUUAAACAUGUCAAAUGCCUUGACACUUCUCUCAUCAAAAUUGCAGCAUAAGCCAAGGGCAGUAUUGCACACCUGUAGUCCUGGCUACUCAAGAGGCUGAGGCAGGAGGACCACCUGGAGGGCAAGGCCUGGGGGGUCAAGGCUUCAGGGAGCUAUGAUGACACCACCGUACUCCAGCCUGGGGGACAGAGUGAGACCUUAUCUCAAAACAAACAAACAAACAAAAAACAGGCUGGGUGCGGUGGCUUGGGAGGUCAAGGCGGGUGGAUCACUGAGGUCAGGAGUUUGAGACCAGCCUGGUCAACACGGUGAAACCC
Molecule: long non-coding RNA, 1634 nt
Filed under: Homo sapiens (human)
Lineage: Eukaryota; Metazoa; Chordata; Mammalia; Primates; Hominidae
Description: HSALNT0156463
Source: RNAcentral